Molecule: long non-coding RNA, 421 nt
Filed under: Homo sapiens (human)
Lineage: Eukaryota; Metazoa; Chordata; Mammalia; Primates; Hominidae
Description: HSALNT0201468
Source: RNAcentral
AUUGCUUGAACCUGGGAGGUUGCAGUGAGUCAAGAUCAUGCCACUGCAUUCCAGCCUGAGCAACAGAGUGAGACUGUCUCAAAAAAAAAAAAAAAAGAAAAGAAAAAGAAAAGAAACCAAUACUGAUACAUUAUUAUUAACUAAAGUCAAUACUUUUUUCCAGAGUUUUUUAGUUCUUACUUAAUGUUGCUUUUCUGUUUCAGGAUCUCAUUCAGGACACCACAUUACCAUUAGUCACAGUGUCUCCUCUGGCUCCUCUUGGCUGUCAGUUUCUCAGAGCGUCCUUGUUUUUAAUGGCCUUGAAUAUUUUGAAGAGUAUGGGUCAGGUGUUUUGUAGAAAGCCCUUCACUUGGGAUUUAUCUGAUGGAGUUAGAGUUUGGAGGAAAACCCCAAAGCUGCAUUGGUAUAGGCAUGUAGUAGG